Molecule: long non-coding RNA, 225 nt
Organism: Arabidopsis thaliana (thale cress)
Lineage: Eukaryota; Viridiplantae; Streptophyta; Magnoliopsida; Brassicales; Brassicaceae
Product: other RNA
Exons: 1
Source: RefSeq
AGUUUCUGUUGUCGGGUCGUUGGAAGAGAAUAAUUCUUCUUCUCCUUGCCGCCUGGCUUGGACGAGGCAUUACCGUACCAGAUCAUCCCGAGUACUGCAAUGAUCAUGCCAAGAAUCACAUGCAGGUUUAGACCAUCUCUGUCAAAGAAGAAGAAGCCCAUUACAAGCACCAAGAUCGUCUUCAUAUGGCCCAGGACUUGGAAUGACACUGCUGUGAAUCUCCCG